AGAGUUUGAUUCUGGCUCAGAACGAACGCUGGCGGCGUGGAUAAGACAUGCAAGUCGAACGAGAGAAUUGCUAGCUUGCUAAUAAUUCUCUAGUGGCGCACGGGUGAGUAACACGUGAGUAACCUGCCCCCGAGAGCGGGAUAGCCCUGGGAAACUGGGAUUAAUACCGCAUAGUAUCGAAAGAUUAAAGCAGCAAUGCGCUUGGGGAUGGGCUCGCGGCCUAUUAGUUAGUUGGUGAGGUAACGGCUCACCAAGGCGAUGACGGGUAGCCGGUCUGAGAGGAUGUCCGGCCACACUGGAACUGAGACACGGUCCAGACACCUACGGGUGGCAGCAGUCGAGAAUCAUUCACAAUGGGGGAAACCCUGAUGGUGCGACGCCGCGUGGGGGAAUGAAGGUCUUCGGAUUGUAAACCCCUGUCAUGUGGGAGCAAAUUAAAAAGAUAGUACCACAAGAGGAAGAGACGGCUAACUCUGUGCCAGCAGCCGCGGUAAUACAGAGGUCUCAAGCGUUGUUCGGAAUCACUGGGCGUAAAGCGUGCGUAGGCUGUUUCGUAAGUCGUGUGUGAAAGGCGCGGGCUCAACCCGCGGACGGCACAUGAUACUGCGAGACUAGAGUAAUGGAGGGGGAACCGGAAUUCUCGGUGUAGCAGUGAAAUGCGUAGAUAUCGAGAGGAACACUCGUGGCGAAGGCGGGUUCCUGGACAUUAACUGACGCUGAGGCACGAAGGCCAGGGGAGCGAAAGGGAUUAGAUACCCCUGUAGUCCUGGCAGUAAACGGUGCACGCUUGGUGUGCGGGGAAUCGACCCCCUGCGUGCCGGAGCUAACGCGUUAAGCGUGCCGCCUGGGGAGUACGGUCGCAAGAUUAAAACUCAAAGAAAUUGACGGGGACCCGCACAA
This 900-nucleotide ribosomal RNA is filed under the name marine sediment metagenome. RNAcentral's name for it is "bacterial SSU rRNA". It matches the Rfam family "Bacterial small subunit ribosomal RNA", at positions 8 to 928 of the family's 1533-position model. The record is from RNAcentral.